This 251-nucleotide ribosomal RNA is filed under the name uncultured bacterium. RNAcentral describes it as "partial 16S ribosomal RNA". It matches the Rfam family "Bacterial small subunit ribosomal RNA", at positions 525 to 775 of the family's 1533-position model. The record is from RNAcentral. RNAcentral also lists the same sequence under 1 other name.
ACGUAGGGGGCAAGCGUUAUCCGGAUUUACUGGGUGUAAAGGGAGCGUAGACGGACUGGCAAGUCUGAUGUGAAAGGCGGGGGCUCAACCCCUGGACUGCAUUGGAAACUGUUAGUCUUGAGUGCCGGAGAGGUAAGCGGAAUUCCUAGUGUAGCGGUGAAAUGCGUAGAUAUUAGGAGGAACACCAGUGGCGAAGGCGGCUUACUGGACGGUAACUGACGUUGAGGCUCGAAAGCGUGGGGAGCAAACAG